RNAcentral lists this long non-coding RNA (210 nucleotides) under Monodelphis domestica (gray short-tailed opossum). RNAcentral describes it as "lncRNA (ENSMODG00000037102.1)". Lineage: Eukaryota; Metazoa; Chordata; Mammalia; Didelphimorphia; Didelphidae. The record is from RNAcentral.
UCACAUUGGUGGACAUUGUGAAUGCACAAUUCCAUCAUUUCCUCUAUCAUCUUCAUAUACCAGAACUUUAAGUCAUUCCCCAGUAGAUGGACAUCCCUUCAAUUUCCAAUUCUUUGCCACCACAAGAAGAGCAUAUAUAAGAAUGGAUGCACUCAAAUCUGAAUAGUUUCCUGAUCAAGAUUUCAAUUGUUUCAUUACCAUAGAAAUGGG